RNAcentral lists this unclassified non-coding RNA (253 nucleotides) under uncultured Verrucomicrobiota bacterium. RNAcentral describes it as "uncultured Verrucomicrobia bacterium contains 16S-23S intergenic spacer region". It matches the Rfam family "Bacterial small subunit ribosomal RNA", at positions 524 to 776 of the family's 1533-position model. The record is from RNAcentral. Lineage: Bacteria; Pseudomonadati; Verrucomicrobiota.
UACAGAGACUGCAAGCGUUACUCGGAUUCACUGGGCGUAAAGGGAGCGCAGGCGGGCGGGUGUGUCGGGUGUGAAAUCCCGGAGCUUAACUCCGGAAUGGCGCCCGAAACUACCCGUCUAGAGGAUUGGAGAGGCGGGCGGAAUUCCAGGUGUAGCGGUGAAAUGCGUAGAUAUCUGGAGGAACACCGACGGCGAAGGCAGCCCGCUGGACAAAUCCUGACGCUCAGGCUCGAAAGUGUGGGGAGCAAAAGGG